Molecule: ribosomal RNA, 253 nt
Filed under: uncultured bacterium
Lineage: Bacteria
Description: partial 16S ribosomal RNA
Rfam family: Bacterial small subunit ribosomal RNA
Source: RNAcentral
UACGAAGGUGGCAAGCGUUGUUCGGAUUUACUGGGCGUAAAGGGAGCGUAGGUGGUUAGGUAAGCCCUCCGGGAAAUCUUCAGGCUUAACCUGAAAAGGUCGGGGGGGACUGCCUGGCUAGAGGACGGGAGAGGAGCGCGGAAUUCCCGGUGUAGCGGUGAAAUGCGUAGAGAUCGGGAGGAAUACCGGUGGCGAAGGCGGCAUCCUGGACCGGCAUUGACGCUGAACGGCGAAAGCUAGGGGAGCAAACGGG